This 250-nucleotide long non-coding RNA is filed under the name Eutrema salsugineum. Its description in RNAcentral is "long non-coding RNA (ESAL_LNC000526)". The record is from RNAcentral. Lineage: Eukaryota; Viridiplantae; Streptophyta; Magnoliopsida; Brassicales; Brassicaceae.
AAAAUCUAAGAAAUUGUUAAAAUAAGAUAAUUAAGAAAAAAAAAUCAAAGAUAAUGCAAAGAAUUGACGAAACUUAUACUAAAAAACAUUGAAUGGAUCUCCAAACACGAAAGGGAUUCAUCAUAGAACCUGCACAUAACAAAGCAGUGUACAUCAUUCGAAGAGAGGAGCGGAAACCCAUUGAUUUGCCUUAAGCAAGCUUUGACAUACUGAUACGAGCAUGGAACCAAAUGACAACCUUGAAGCCGAG